This 366-nucleotide ribosomal RNA is filed under the name uncultured bacterium. Its description in RNAcentral is "bacterial SSU rRNA". It matches the Rfam family "Bacterial small subunit ribosomal RNA", at positions 59 to 449 of the family's 1533-position model. The record is from RNAcentral.
AAGUCGGACGGACACCUUCGGGUGUCAGUGGCGGACGGGUGAGUAACGCGUAGGAAUCUACCCCUAGGAGGGGGAUAACAGCUGGAAACGGCUGCUAAUACCCCAUACAGGCGCGAGCUGAAAGGAGCAAUCCGCCUAGGGAUGAGCCUGCGUCGGAUUAGCUAGUUGGUGGGGUAAUGGCCUACCAAGGCGACGAUCCGUAGCGGGUCUGAGAGGAUGGCCCGCCACACUGGGACUGAGACACGGCCCAGACUCCUACGGGAGGCAGCAGUGGGGAAUUUUCCGCAAUGGGCGAAAGCCUGACGGAGCAAUACCGCGUGAGGGAGGAAGGCCUUCGGGUUGUAAACCUCUUUUCUGGGGGACGAA